GAUGAACGCUGGCGGCGUGCCUAAUACAUGCAAGUCGAGCGAACAGACGAGGAGCUUGCUCCUCUGACGUUAGCGGCGGACGGGUGAGUAACACGUGGAUAACCUACCUAUAAGACUGGGAUAACUUCGGGAAACCGGAGCUAAUACCGGAUAAUAUAUUGAACCGCAUGGUUCAAUAGUGAAAGACGGUUUUGCUGUCACUUAUAGAUGGAUCCGCGCCGCAUUAGCUAGUUGGUAAGGUAACGGCUUACCAAGGCAACGAUGCGUAGCCGACCUGAGAGGGUGAUCGGCCACACUGGAACUGAGAGACGGUCCAGACUCCUACGGGAGGCAGCAGUAGGGAAUUUUCCGCAAUGGGCGAAAGACUGAAGGAGCAACGCCGCGUGAGUGAUGAAGGUCUUCGGAUCGUAAAACUCUUUUAUUAGGGAAGAACAUAUGUGUAAGUAACUGUGCACAUCUUGACGGUACCUAAUCAGAAAGCCACGGCUAACUACGUG
This 497-nucleotide ribosomal RNA is filed under the name uncultured bacterium. Its description in RNAcentral is "partial 16S ribosomal RNA". It matches the Rfam family "Bacterial small subunit ribosomal RNA", at positions 28 to 507 of the family's 1533-position model. The record is from RNAcentral.